RNAcentral lists this ribosomal RNA (400 nucleotides) under uncultured bacterium. Its description in RNAcentral is "bacterial SSU rRNA". It matches the Rfam family "Bacterial small subunit ribosomal RNA", at positions 28 to 417 of the family's 1533-position model. The record is from RNAcentral.
GAUGAACGCUGGCGGCGUGCCUAACACAUGCAAGUCGAACGUGAACAGGGGCAACCCUUAGUAAAGUGGCGUACGGGUGAGUAACGCGUAGGUAAUCUACCCUAGAGUCUGGAAUAACCGGCCGAAAGGCUGGCUAAUACUGGAUAGAGCGACGGAAUCCGUAAUUGGGUUUUUCGGAAGGGAGCCAGCAAUGGCCCUCGCUUUAGGAUGAGCCUGCGUCUCAUUAGCUAGUUGGUAAGGUAACGGCUUACCAAGGCUUUGAUGGGUAGCUGGUCUGAGAGGAUGAUCAGCCACACUGGAACUGAAACACGGUCCAGACUCCUACGGGAGGCAGCAGUGGGGAAUCUUGCGCAAUGGACGAAAGUCUGACGCAGCCACGCCGCGUGAGUGAAGAAGGCCU